UACGAAGGGGGCUAGCGUUGCUCGGAAUGACUGGGCGUAAAGGGCGCGUAGGCGGAUUGUCUUGUCGGGCGUGAAAUUCCAGGGCUCAACCUUGGGUGGUCGUUCGAGACGGGCAGUCUUGAGUUUGGCAGAGGGUCGUGGAAUUCCCAGUGUAGAGGUGAAAUUCGUAGAUAUUGGGAAGAACACCGGUGGCGAAGGCGGCGACCUGGUCCUUGACUGACGCUGAGGCGCGAAAGCGUGGGGAGCAAACAGG
RNAcentral lists this ribosomal RNA (253 nucleotides) under uncultured bacterium. RNAcentral's name for it is "partial 16S ribosomal RNA". It matches the Rfam family "Bacterial small subunit ribosomal RNA", at positions 524 to 776 of the family's 1533-position model. The record is from RNAcentral.